This 459-nucleotide ribosomal RNA is filed under the name Pedobacter sp. R-38357. RNAcentral's name for it is "bacterial SSU rRNA". It matches the Rfam family "Bacterial small subunit ribosomal RNA", at positions 21 to 477 of the family's 1533-position model. The record is from RNAcentral. Lineage: Bacteria; Pseudomonadati; Bacteroidota; Sphingobacteriia; Sphingobacteriales; Sphingobacteriaceae.
GGCUCAGGAUGAACGCUAGCGGCAGGCCUAAUACAUGCAAGUCGAGGGGGAUUGGAGAGCUUGCUUUCCAUGAGACCGGCGCACGGGUGCGUAACGCGUAUGCAACCUACCUUGAUCAGGGGGAUAGCCCGAAGAAAUUCGGAUUAACACCGCAUAAAACCACAGGAUAGCAUUAUCUAAUGGUCAAAUAUUUAUAGGAUUGAGAUGGGCAUGCGUGUCAUUAGCUAGUUGGUAAGGUAACGGCUUACCAAGGCGACGAUGACUAGGGGAUCUGAGAGGAUGACCCCCCACACUGGUACUGAGACACGGACCAGACUCCUACGGGAGGCAGCAGUAAGGAAUAUUGGUCAAUGGAGGCAACUCUGAACCAGCCAUGCCGCGUGCAGGAAGACAGCCCUAUGGGUCGUAAACUGCUUUUAUACGGGAACAAACCUUUCUUCGUGAAGAAAGCUGAGCGUA